RNAcentral lists this non-coding RNA (25 nucleotides) under Rattus norvegicus (Norway rat). The record is from RNAcentral. Lineage: Eukaryota; Metazoa; Chordata; Mammalia; Rodentia; Muridae.
UGCACAAUAUUUCCCUAGCCUUGAC